This 620-nucleotide ribosomal RNA is filed under the name uncultured delta proteobacterium. RNAcentral's name for it is "bacterial SSU rRNA". It matches the Rfam family "Bacterial small subunit ribosomal RNA", at positions 8 to 600 of the family's 1533-position model. Lineage: Bacteria; Deltaproteobacteria. The record is from RNAcentral.
AGAGUUUGAUCAUGGCUCAGAAUGAACGCUGGCGGCAGGCCUAACACAUGCAAGUCGUACGAGAAAGUUUAGCUUCGGCUGAACGAGUAAAGUGGCGCACGGGUGAGUAACGCGUGGGUAAUCUACCCUCGGGCUGGGGAUAACAUUCCGAAAGGGAUGCUAAUACCGAAUAAUACUUUUUCUUCUGCGGUUGAAAAAGUCAAAGGUGGCCUCUACAUGUAAGCUACCACCUGAGGAUGAGCUCGCGUCCCAUUAGCUUGUUGGUGAGGUAACGGCUCACCAAGGCCGCGAUGGGUAGCUGGUCUGAGAGGAUGAUCAGCCACACUGGGACUGGAACACGGCCCAGACUCCUACGGGAGGCAGCAGUGAGGAAUCUUGCGCAAUGGGGGAAACCCUGACGCAGCCAUGCCGCGUGAGUGAAGAAGGUUUUCGGAUCGUAAAGCUCUGUCAGAAGGGAAGAACCCGGUUAAGACUAAUAAUCUUAUCCGCUGACGGUACCUUCAAAGGAAGCACCGGCUAACUCCGUGCCAGCAGCCGCGGUAAUACGGAGGAUGCAAGCGUUGUUCGGAAUUACUGGGCGUAAAGAGAGCGUAGGCGGCUUAUUAAGUCGGAUGUGAAAU